CUGAACUGUCAACAUGGGUUGUUGCUGGCCCUCGAGUGGGGGCAUGUGCACGCUCUGUUUACACAUCCACUCACACCUGUGCACCCUCUGUAGUUCUAUGGCGUGGGGGGCCCUGCCCUCCUGCUGUGGUUCUAUGUCUUUACACACACACACACUGUGAUGAAGUCUCAUGGAAUGUACAUCGCGUUUAACGCAAUACAAUA
Molecule: unclassified non-coding RNA, 203 nt
Filed under: uncultured Tomentella
Lineage: Eukaryota; Fungi; Basidiomycota; Agaricomycetes; Thelephorales; Thelephoraceae
Description: sequence contains ITS1
Source: RNAcentral